GGCAUAGUACUUUAAAAAAAAAGGUUUGAGUUGCAGUCUAACAUUAAGCAGCGUGCUUUUAUGCUU
RNAcentral lists this transfer RNA (66 nucleotides) under Xenostrobus securis. Its description in RNAcentral is "tRNA-Ala". The record is from RNAcentral. Lineage: Eukaryota; Metazoa; Mollusca; Bivalvia; Mytilida; Modiolidae.